AGCUCCAAUAGCGUAUAUUAAAGUUGUUGCAGUUAAAAAGCUCGUAGUUGAACUUCUGGCGGUCGUUUUCGCUGGCUUCGGUCGCGUUGAUGGCUGUCAUCCGCUUGGGAACCUCGUUCGGUCUUCAUUGGUCGGCGGGAGGAUCAGGCAUUUUACUUUGAAAAAAUUAGAGUGUUCAAGGCAGGCAAUCGCCAUGAAUACACAAGCAUGGAAUAAUGGAAUAGGACUCUCAGUCAUUUUAUUGGUUAUUGACUGGUAGUAAUGAUUAAUAGGGACAGUUGGGGGCAUUCGUAUUUAAUUGUCAGAGGUGAAAUUCUUGGAUUUAUUAAAGACGAACUUAUGCGAAAGCAUUUGCCAAGGAUGUUUUCAUUA
RNAcentral lists this ribosomal RNA (372 nucleotides) under Askenasia sp. RNAcentral's name for it is "partial small subunit ribosomal RNA". It matches the Rfam family "Eukaryotic small subunit ribosomal RNA", at positions 587 to 975 of the family's 1831-position model. Lineage: Eukaryota; Ciliophora; Litostomatea; Cyclotrichida; Mesodiniidae. The record is from RNAcentral. RNAcentral also lists the same sequence under 1 other name.